Molecule: ribosomal RNA, 238 nt
Filed under: uncultured bacterium
Lineage: Bacteria
Description: partial 16S ribosomal RNA
Rfam family: Bacterial small subunit ribosomal RNA
Source: RNAcentral
GCAAGUCGAGCGGUAGAAUUUAAUAGCUUGCUAUUAGAUUUGAGAGCGGCGAACGGGUGAGUAACACGUUGGUAUCUGCCCCCAAGUCAGGGAUAGCCAUUGGAAACGAUGAUUAAUACCGGAUAGUCUCUUCGGAGUAAAGAUUUAUUGCUUGGGGAGGAGCCUGCGUUCUAUCAGCUAGUUGGUGAGGUAAAAGCUUACCAAGGCGACGAUCUCUAGCUGGUCUGAGAGGAUGAUC